Molecule: ribosomal RNA, 500 nt
Filed under: Spathaspora sp. BG090807.3.9.3.2.17
Lineage: Eukaryota; Fungi; Ascomycota; Pichiomycetes; Serinales; Debaryomycetaceae
Description: eukaryotic LSU rRNA
Rfam family: Eukaryotic large subunit ribosomal RNA
Source: RNAcentral
AGCAUAUCAAUAAGCGGAGGAAAAGAAACCAACAGGGAUUGCCUUAGUAGCGGCGAGUGAAGCGGCAAAAGCUCAAAUUUGAAAUCUGGCGGCCUCGUCGUCCGAGUUGUAAUUUGAAGAAGGUAUCUUUGGGUCUGGCGCUUGUCUAUGUUCCUUGGAACAGGACGUCACAGAGGGUGAGAAUCCCGUGCGAUGAGCAGUCCAGAUCCGUGUAAAGUUCCUUCGAAGAGUCGAGUUGUUUGGGAAUGCAGCUCUAAGUGGGUGGUAAAUUCCAUCUAAAGCUAAAUAUUGGCGAGAGACCGAUAGCGAACAAGUACAGUGAUGGAAAGAUGAAAAGAACUUUGAAAAGAGAGUGAAAAAGUACGUGAAAUUGUUGAAAGGGAAGGGCUUGCGAUCAGACUUGGUAUUUUGUAUGUCUUGCUUUCGGGCGGGGCCUCUGCAGUUUACUGGGCCAGCAUCGGUUCGGGUGGCAGGACAAUUGCGGAGAAAUGUGGCACGGC